This is a long non-coding RNA of Acinonyx jubatus (cheetah), 1006 nucleotides long. RefSeq lists it as uncharacterized. The transcript has 4 exons. Lineage: Eukaryota; Metazoa; Chordata; Mammalia; Carnivora; Felidae. The record is from RefSeq and is a predicted model, not a curated record.
UGUGGCCACGUGACUGGUGUGCAGCAGGUCGUGGGCCAGGAAGGGGCCCCUCGCCGCGCGCUCCCGCCUCUCCGGCCGUGCUGGCCUUGGCCUCACAGCCACGCAGCCGUCUCCUGGAUCACCUGGUGAGCUGCCCGGUCCCCAGAUGGCGGAACCAAAGACCAGCACGAUGUGUGGCCGCAGAAUAAAUCAGUGUCUCCGAUUUCAUACCGGGAAGCUGCGUGCUGCCUCUGAGCCGGGCCCGUCUCACUCUCAUCAGUAAACUCAACAAAACCAGAGACCAGGGGAAGGAAAACACCGAGUCAUGGAAAGAGCAGGAAAAGGAUGCUCUCUGUCUAUAGCCAGAGAAAGAUGUGGAACCAAGGUGAAGUUCUCCAGUGACAUCAUGGGGAAGUCCUUUCCAAAUAUCUCACCUCCCGCAAAGAGGAGGAGAAGAGGAAAGCAAGGUCACGAUGGAAAGAUCUACUUGGAAGUGUUUGUAAAGAAUUCCUUCCUCUAAAGCUUCUGCUCAUGGUGGAUGGAGGCCGCCACGUUUGUGCAGGGACACAGACUCUUCGGCUGACCUGACGGGCUCAGAGGCAGGCACCACCCUUAAAAUGCAUCAUGGCGAGUCCUUUCCUUGGAAUCUCUAGUUGGACUAUGGAGGAAUUGAGCUGUGGGAGAACAGACUUGCAACAUUUUGUGGAGUGAUGGACCCUUCCAUCGGAACAUGGGAACAGAAGUCACGCAGAAUGCCGAGGCCCCAGCACCGCCCUGAACUCAAAACUAACGCUCUGGCUCUAGCUCCUGUGACUCGUGACUGGGAACUUGACCUUCAUGGCCUCAAGAGCCUCUGUUGGGCUUGCAAUAAACUCUUCUUACUCAAGUUCAUUUAGGUGUGCUUCUGGUUUUUACAACCCAAAGGACCACAACUAUUACAGAUAGCUGCCUUUGGAAUAUAUUUAUUUUAGGGUAUAGAGGUCAGCAGCCUAGACUCAGCAGUCAGACUUCUCAGGUUCAAAUCCCA